Molecule: long non-coding RNA, 1431 nt
Filed under: Calidris pygmaea (Spoon-billed sandpiper)
Lineage: Eukaryota; Metazoa; Chordata; Aves; Charadriiformes; Scolopacidae
Description: lncRNA (ENSCPGG00000017195.1)
Source: RNAcentral
GGGACGGGCGCGGCGUGAGCCCCGCGGUGCGGGUCUCGGGGCCGCAGCAGCGCCUUUCCCUCUUUUACCUUCCCUUCCCUUCCCUUUCCUUCCCUUCCCUUCCCUGCCCCUUCCCUCCCCGGAGCGGCGGCCGCCUCCGCCCCCGCGGCGGCGGGCGGGUUUCUGCCGGGGGCGGCGGGCGCGGGGUGGGGAGGACUGAGGCUGGAAAGGUGAGUGAGUGCUCGGAUUGCCGGAGCGCCGGUCUCGACCCGCGCCUACCGAAAUGAAGCUGCCAUUUGUGAGCUGUGAGUGACGAGCGUGUGUAUCUUAAUUUUCCCACUGCCACUACUGCCAGCUUCCUCCUGCUUCUUCAGUGAUGGUUACCCUGCAGAUGUGAGUGGCUGGCUGAGAGGGACGUGCUGCUGGGUCAGGCAGCAGCUGCCUGGAAAGGUCAAGGGAAAAUUGGAAGGAGGAAGGAAACAAAUGUGGCCAGCAGGUCGAGGGAGGUGAUUCUGCCCCUCUACUCCACUCUGGUAAAACGCCACCUGAAUUACUUCAUCCAGCUCCGGAGCCUUCAGCACAGGAAAGAAAAUGUUGGAACAGGUCCAGAGGAAGGCCAGAUAAAGGAUCAGAGGGCUGGAGCACCCCUCCUAUGAAGACAGGCUGAGAGAGUUGGGCUUGUUCAGCCUGGAGAAGAGAAGACUCCAGGGACACCUUACUGCAGCCUUUCAGUACUUAAAGAGCACCUACAGGAAAGAGCGGGACAAACUUUUCAGCUGGGCCUGUAGCAAUAGGACAAGGGGUAAUGGCUUUAAACUAAGAGGGAAGAUUUAGAGUAGAUAUAAGGAAGAAAUUUUUUACCAUGAGAGUGGUGAAACACCAGAACAGGUUGCCCAGAGAGGUGGUAGAUGCCCCAUGCUUGGAAAUAUUCAAGGUCAGGUUGGAUGGGGCUCUGAGCAACCUGAUCUAGUUGAAGAUGUCCCUGCUUAUUGCAGGGGAAGUUGUACUAGGUGACCUUUAAAGACCCCUUCCAACCCAAACUAUUCUAUGAUUCUAACAAAUGAUCAUUACAGGAUAAUCAACAGAGAAGACAGAAGGAGUACCAGCAGGGGUGAGAUGGAGACAAUGCUACACACAGAAGCAACCAGUACAUCCCAAACAUUUCGGCAACAAUGAUGUAUUCCCAGGUGAUGGGGAGAUUAUAGUAUGGAGAGAAGUUCUUAUGAGCGUAAAGCGAAGAUGAUUGUAUGCUGGGUAAGAAGCUUCACCAGGGAGAAGUUGCCUGUGGUAGGAGAAAUGCAUGAGCAUGUACUGAAGAGAUGUAGUUAAGGUCGCCAGUUAGAUUGUUUUUUUAAAAGUUGUUUGGAGUUCUGCUUGUGCAGCAAUGGGACACCAUUGAGGGCAAGGCUGCUGAGGUACGGUGCUGGGCAAUAAAGUGGUGUGAGAUUUUCA